RNAcentral lists this ribosomal RNA (497 nucleotides) under uncultured bacterium. RNAcentral describes it as "partial 16S ribosomal RNA". It matches the Rfam family "Bacterial small subunit ribosomal RNA", at positions 28 to 507 of the family's 1533-position model. The record is from RNAcentral.
GAUGAACGCUGGCGGCGUGCCUAAUACAUGCAAGUCGAGCGAACAGACGAGGAGCUUGCUCCUCUGACGUUAGCGGCGGACGGGUGAGUAACACGUGGAUAACCUACCUAUAAGACUGGGAUAACUUCGGGAAACCGGAGCUAAUACCGGAUAACAUGUUGAACCGCAUGGUUCAAUAGUGAAAGACGGUCUUGCUGUCACUUAUAGAUGGAUCCGCGCCGCAUUAGCUAGUUGGUAAGGUAACGGCUUACCAAGGCAACGAUGCGUAGCCGACCUGAGAGGGUGAUCGGCCACACUGGAACUGAGACACGGUCCAGACUCCUACGGGAGGCAGCAGUAGGGAAUCUUCCGCAAUGGGCGAAAGCCUGACGGAGCAACGCCGCGUGAGUGAAGAAGGUCUUCGGAUCGUAAAACUCUGUUAUUAGGGAAGAACAAAUGUGUAAGUAACUAUGCACGUCUUGACGGUACCUAAUCAGAAAGCCACGGCUAACUACGUG